CACCACUGCAGCUGUCAUGGCGGCUUGGCGGUUAAGUUUGUGUGCUCGCAGCCUUUCCGCAAUUCGACAGCUCCAGGCUGCCCCACUUUGCUGGAAAUCCAGCUCCUCCAGGGCUGUGGUUGCUCGGUCCCCUGCGGCUCGAAAGGAGCAGGAAGAACCGACCGUGCAGUGGAUGGAGGACCCAGAUCCCGAGGACGAAAACGUGUACUUGAAGAACCCAGACUUCCAUGGUUACGACGACGACCCGAAGGUGGAUGCCUUGAAUAUGCACGCCGUCUUCUUCUUUGGUGUUUCCAUCGCCCUGGUCCUUGGCACUACCUUUGUGGCUUAUGUGCCCAACUAUAAGAUGAUCGAGUGGGCCCGCCGGGAAGCUGCGAUGCUGGUGAAACACCGAGAGGCCAGUGGCCUCCCCAUCAUGGAGUCCAACUAUUUUGACCCCACCAAGAUCAACCUGCAGGAGGACGACUGAGUGGGGCUUAAGCAGCGCUACCCUGCCCGUUUUCCUGCUCACUUCCCAGAGAAUCUACCCAAGGGAUUGAAAAAAGAAAAGAGUGUUACUCCAGCUAGGCCUGUCAGUUAUUUGGCCAAGGGACCACACCUCCGAACACUGAUUGACCUAAAAUAUGCUAAAGAGAUGGGAGGAACAAUUAUCUCCUUAAUGAGAGAAUGUAUUUUCCUUGGCCGAAACUCUGUCUUGGCUCUAGUCACUUGUGGAGCUCACUUCCUGGAGUCCUAAGUUCCAAAACACAUCUGUUUCUUUUCCCCAUCUUUUGAAUACUUGCCAGUGUCUGGGCUCCCCACCCCCCUCCCCGCCCCCGUCCUAUUGAUGUACUGGGCUCUCUUGCUUUAUUUGUAUCCCCCUCUUCUGCUUCUGCCAUGGGGCUGCUUGGGAGCCUCCAUUACUAAACUUCAUAUCUAACCCAAGAAGGCGUGGCUUUCUCCGUAUUUCUUCUGGAAUUGGCCUGGAUUUUCAGGUUGCCUGCCCCGCGAUGUUUCUUUUAAACUCUAAUAAAAUGGUUCUUAGGCCUC
Molecule: non-coding RNA, 1029 nt
Organism: Mus caroli (Ryukyu mouse)
Lineage: Eukaryota; Metazoa; Chordata; Mammalia; Rodentia; Muridae
Source: RefSeq, a predicted model, not a curated record